GACAAAAAAGUGACUACAGUUGGACAGAAAGAAAAUGACAGAAAGAAAAGAAAAGAAAACAGAAGAAAAGAAAAAAAAGAAAACAGAAGAGAAGGCAAGAAAAGAAGAAAAGAAAAGAAAAAAGAAAAAAAGAAAAAGAAAAAAAGAAAAGAGCUACCGUAACUUUUUUGGAGUGAAGUGAUUAAGAGCACCAAUUCUAGAGCCAGGCUGCCUGGGUUCCCAUCUUCGUUCUAUCAAAUACUAGUUGUGCCACCUUGGGAUUACGGAAGCAAGUAUCUGGAAUUAUCAGCCUGGAUCAGUGAGAAAACAUGAGCAGAGCCCCAGUGCUGAUCUGCAAU
This 338-nucleotide long non-coding RNA is filed under the name Homo sapiens (human). RNAcentral describes it as "HSALNT0280858". Lineage: Eukaryota; Metazoa; Chordata; Mammalia; Primates; Hominidae. The record is from RNAcentral.